CCAUGCAUGUCUCAGUUCAGGCCCUAGUACGGUGAAACCGCGAAUGGCUCAUUAAAUCAGCUAUGGUUUAUUGGAUCGUACCCGUUAAAUGGAUAACUGUAAUAACUCUAGAGCUAAUACAUGCCUCGAUGCCCUGACUCUGUCGGCUUGCUGCUUGCCUGUGGGUAGGUGGUGGCAGGCAGGGUGUGGGUGCACUUAUUAGAUCAGAAGCCAACCAACUGCUCGUGCGUUGCGUGUGCAGCCGACUGCUGUAGGCGUGCGUGCGUGCGUGCGUGCGAGUGUUGAGAGGAGACCGCUUCUGGUGACUCUGGAUAAUUGUUACAGAUCGCAGUCGGCCUUGAGUCGGCGACGGGUCCUUCAAAUGUCUGCCCUAUCAACUGUCGAUGGUAGGUGACCUGCCUACCAUGGUGAUAACGGGUAACGGGGAAUCAGGGUUCGAUUCCGGAGAGGGAGCCUGAGAAACGGCUACCACUUCCAAGGGAGGCAGCAGGCGCGCAAAUUACCCACUCCCGGCACGGGGAGGUGGUGACGAAAAAUACCGAUGCGGGACUCCCUCAAGAGG
This 562-nucleotide ribosomal RNA is filed under the name Taenia solium (pork tapeworm). RNAcentral describes it as "SSU rRNA". It matches the Rfam family "Eukaryotic small subunit ribosomal RNA", at positions 49 to 501 of the family's 1831-position model. The record is from RNAcentral. Lineage: Eukaryota; Metazoa; Platyhelminthes; Cestoda; Cyclophyllidea; Taeniidae.